AUGAACGCUAGCGGCAGGCUUAACACAUGCAAGUCGAGGGGCAGCACGGGUAGCAAUACCUGGUGGCGACCGGCGCAAGGGUGCGUAACGCGUGAGCAACAUGCCCUAUACAGGGGGAUAAUCCAGGGAAACUUGGUCUAAUAUCCCAUAGUAUUUAGAGGAGGCAUCUUCUAUAAAUUAAAGCUUCGGUGGUAUAGGAUUGGCUCGCGUGACAUUAGCUAGAUGGUGAGGUAACGGCUCACCAUGGCAAUGAUGUCUAGGGGUUCUGAGAGGAAGGCCCCCCACACUGGGACUGAGACACGGCCCAGACUCCUACGGGAGGCAGCAGUGAGGAAUAUUGGACAAUGGAUGGAAAUCUGAUCCAGCCAUGCCGCGUGCAGGAAGACAGCCCUAUGGGUUGUAAACUGCUUUUCCAGGGAGAGAAACUUACGCACGUGUUGCGUGACUGACGGUACCCUGGGAAUAAGCAUCGGCUAACUCCGUG
RNAcentral lists this ribosomal RNA (484 nucleotides) under uncultured bacterium. RNAcentral's name for it is "bacterial SSU rRNA". It matches the Rfam family "Bacterial small subunit ribosomal RNA", at positions 29 to 507 of the family's 1533-position model. The record is from RNAcentral.